Molecule: ribosomal RNA, 253 nt
Filed under: uncultured bacterium
Lineage: Bacteria
Description: partial 16S ribosomal RNA
Rfam family: Bacterial small subunit ribosomal RNA
Source: RNAcentral
UACGUAGGGGGCAAGCGUUGUCCGGAAUCAUUGGGCGUAAAGAGCGUGUAGGCGGCCUGGUAAGUCCGCUGUGAAAGUCCAGGGCUCAACCCUGGAAUGCCGGUGGAAACUGUCAGGCUCGAGUCCGGAAGAGGCGAGUGGAAUUCCUGGUGUAGCGGUGAAAUGCGCAGAUAUCAGGAAGAACACCCGUGGCGAAGGCGGCUCUCUGGGACGGUACUGACGCUGAGACGCGAAAGCGUGGGGAGCGAACAGG